RNAcentral lists this ribosomal RNA (838 nucleotides) under uncultured Gammaproteobacteria bacterium. RNAcentral describes it as "bacterial SSU rRNA". It matches the Rfam family "Bacterial small subunit ribosomal RNA", at positions 59 to 873 of the family's 1533-position model. Lineage: Bacteria; Pseudomonadati; Pseudomonadota; Gammaproteobacteria. The record is from RNAcentral.
AAGUCGUGCGGUAACAGACAUAAAGAUUUAGCUUGCUAAAUCCGGUGCUGACGAGCGGCGAACGGGUGAGUAACACGUAGGAAUCUACCCAGUAGCGGGGGAUAGCCCAGGGAAACUUGGAUUAAUACCGCAUACACCCUAAGGGGAAAAGAAGGCCACUCUUUGAAGCUUUCACUAUUGGAUGAGCCUGCGUAAGAUUAGCUUGUUGGUGGGGUAAAGGCCUACCAAGGCAACGAUCUUUAGCUGGUCUGAGAGGACGAUCAGCCACAUUGGGACUGAGACACGGCCCAGACUUCUACGGAAGGCAGCAGUUAGGAAUAUUGGACAAUGGGGGCAACCCUGAUCCAGCUAUACCGCGUGUGUGAAGAAGGCCCUAGGGUUGUAAAGCACUUUAAGCAGGGAAGAAGCGUAUUAAGUUAAUACCUUAAUAUGUUGACGUUACCUGAAGAAUAAGGACCGGCUAACUCCGUGCCAGCAGCCGCGGUAAUACGGAGGGUCCAAGCGUUAAUCGGAAUUACUGGGCGUAAAGCGCGCGUAGGCGGUUUAAUAAGUUGUAUGUGAAAGCCCUGGGCUCAACCUAGGAACUGCAUACAAAACUAUUAAGCUUGAGGACGAGAGAGGAGAGUAGAAUUUCAGGUGUAGCGGUGAAAUGCGUAGAUAUCUGAAGGAAUACCAAUGGCGAAGGCAGCUCUCUGGCUCGUUUCUGACGCUGAGGUGCGAAAGCGUGGGUAGCAAACAGGAUUAGAUACCCUGGUAGUCCACGCCGUAAACGAUGAUAACUAGCCGUUGGGCAGAUUUAACUGUUCAGUGGCACAGCUAACGCAUUAAGUAUNCCGCC